Molecule: unclassified non-coding RNA, 285 nt
Filed under: Hevea brasiliensis (rubber tree)
Lineage: Eukaryota; Viridiplantae; Streptophyta; Magnoliopsida; Malpighiales; Euphorbiaceae
Source: RNAcentral
GGGUUGUUGAGAGAAAUGAAAAAGGAAAAGACCGAAAUGAAAGAGUGGAAGAUUCUGGAAGUGUUGUUGGCAGGCAAGCGUAUUUACGACAACGAGGUGAGCAAGAGAAGAACAAUGGAACACGUGUUGUGGUAGCCAUUGGAUGAUUACGAGUUAGAUGGUGGGAUUAAAGUGCGUUUCAUCCGAUCCCCGGUGAGACAGAGCCUUCAAUGCUUGUACAGCUUACCUCUGUGUCGUGACCAUUAAUACGGAGGUUGCUUGUUCCCCUCAUCGAUUGAGAUUUUC